UUGGGCGUAAGCGUUUCGUAGGUGGGUUGGUAAGUUACCCUUCAAAGACUACGGCUCAACCGGAGGAAGGGGGGUAAGACUACCAGUCUUGAUAUUUGGUGGGGUAUCUGGAACUGAUGGUGUAGUAGUGAAAUACGUUGAUAUCAUCAGGAACUCCAAGGGCGAAGGCAGGAUACUAACCAAUUUAUGACACUGAGGAACGACAGCUAGGGGAGCGAAAGGGAUUAGAGACCCCUGUAGUCCUAGCCGUAAACUAUGCUCGCUAGGGAUUUGCAUUUAUGUAUAGUCCCGUAAGCUAACGCGUUAAGCGAGCCGCCUGGGGAGUACGACCGCAAGGUUAAAACUCGAAGGAAUUGACGGGGACCCGCACAACCAGUGGAGCAUGUGGUUUAAUUCGAGACGAAACGAAGGACCUUACCAGGCCUUGACAUUGUACCGUUUUAAGUCACUAGAAAUAGAGACCUAUCCCUAGAAAUAUGGAUGGUAUAACAGGUGUUGCAUGGCCGUCGUAAGCUCGUGCCGUAGGGUGUUCCCUUCAGUGGGGUAACGAGCGAAACCCUUGCCAAAUGUUGAAUAUUCAUUUGGGACUUUCUAAAUUUAUUUUAGAAGGAAGCAGAGGAUGACGUCAGG
RNAcentral lists this ribosomal RNA (630 nucleotides) under uncultured bacterium. RNAcentral describes it as "bacterial SSU rRNA". It matches the Rfam family "Bacterial small subunit ribosomal RNA", at positions 554 to 1189 of the family's 1533-position model. The record is from RNAcentral.